Long non-coding RNA from Corvus hawaiiensis (hawaiian crow), 8288 nucleotides. RefSeq lists it as uncharacterized. NCBI's taxonomy places the organism in Eukaryota, Metazoa, Chordata, Aves, Passeriformes, Corvidae. The record is from RefSeq and is a predicted model, not a curated record. The transcript has 5 exons.
AACAAAAUCUUGAUCUUGGUUCACCUGCUUUUGACUCUGAGACAGAGCCACCCUUCCAAGCAGAGGAUGGGAACCAGGAUGCCCUGCUCUGGCCCACUGACCAAUGUUGCUGACCUUCAGGCAUCUCAGCUCUGACAUCAGACCUCUUCUGGCAAAAAGGACAGCUGGUUAAAGCAGAUGCUUUCCUUGUGCUUGGUGUCUGUUGCAAGUAACCUCUGUGUUCUUCCACGUUACAAUGUGUUGCAGGCAAGUGGAGUGUUUCUUGGGAUUUGACGUUGCUGUAUUGCCUAUGAUGAAAGCCAGCUUGCAAAUGGGCUUACUGAGGUAUGGCAACCUUUAGCACAGCCAAGGAAUUGUCUCUGUUCCCCAAAAACUGAUGCUCUGCAUGUGCCAGCUCUUUCCAUUGCUAUCCCACAACAUCUAGCUGAGUGCUUGCACACUCACCACACUGCUGGAUCAUCCUGUCAUCCCAGCCCUUGUGUAGUGGUGCUUGGCCAGAGGUUGUUGCCUCUAGGAGCAGCCCAUAAGGUGUAUAAACACCUGUGUAGUGCAGGUACCUGAAAUGUUUGCAUAGCACCAUUCUCCUGGCAACUCGGCCUUGCUGGUUUGUGAUUUUUUUAACUCCAUUAUAUCCCAGACAAUGUGAUAGACCUGUUUUAACAAGGACGAUUUUAAGGGUGGCUUAGCACUUCCAAGCUCAGCUAGGGAAAGGGAGAGCCAACAGGAGUGCAAUCCUCAGCUGGAGGGAGAAGUAGUGGUAGUGGGAGUUUUCUAUUCUGAUAAUUACUCCUAGCUCUUUCCUUUUUUCUUUUCCUCAAUUAUAGCAGUAUGUGGAAGAAUGGACAAGUGAGAAAAAGGAUGGAGAAGUGGCAAAACCACCAGACACAGCUGUGAGAAUGAAAUGAGGUCCACGUGACAUAAGAAGCCUUAAGUGGUUAUUAUCAAUAUAAUCGCAGCAAAGGUGUCUGUUAGUAAUCAGGAUUAACCUAGUAUGUCUCUAGUCAUUGAUUUGGAAAAGACUGUAAAAUCUCUGCAGUGAGGAUCUUCACUCUGUGGCCAUUCCUUCUGUGCAGUUCAGUCCUGUUAACUGCUCUGAGAACAGUGGGGGGAAAUCCUUACCCGAGGAUGCAUGAAAAGGUACAGACAACAAAACCUAACAAUAUUUUUGUGCAAAGCACUGGUGUUCUUGAUUAAUAGUCCCUAGAUUGCAGACAGGAGGUUUUAUGGGGCCUUAUUCUGCACUUUUUAACACUGGCUGUUCCUAGAGAGUUUUAGGUGGACAAAAAGAAGCAUUAGCAUGGGCAAAACAUGCUUUUGCCAUUAUGACAGAUUAACACCCCCAGAAAUUCUGCUGCCCACCUUCCCUCACUGGCAGUGAGCUGCUAUCUCUGGAGGAUCUCUGUGUGCUCUGCAAAGGGCCCCAGUGCAAACCCAAAUGGUGCAAGCCGUUCUCCAGGUGACUGGCUUUCCUGGUUGGAUGACCAGCAGCUCCACAUUAGCAGGACAGGUGUGUGCUGCAGCAGUUGGGCAAAAAGGUUGAUUUACCCACGUGAAAUUUCAAAAGGGGGACAUAAGUGGUGUGAGUGGGAAUGGCUGCCCUGAGCACCUUGGGCAGAGCUUGUUCUUGCGCUCAGCUGCCUCAGCCCUAGGGCAAGCUUGAAAGAGAAUUAGAUGGUUACAAGGAAAUAAAUUUGGCAUCCUGGAGUUCUUCUGCCAUCUUGACUCUUCCAUGCAUUUUGUUAGACAGAGAUCUCACAAAAAUGUGUGUAUUCUGAAGGGCUGCUUCUGUCUGAAGUUGUGGGGAUGUUGAUGACCAGUUUGCACUGAGCUGUCCUGUCCUGCCUUUGCUGCUAUCAGAGUGCAAGUUUUAGCUAAAGGUAGCUUAUGUGUGCUCAUGUGUGGUGAGCACACCUCUGGUUUCUUUUAUCUGAGCUGCUUUUAAAUGUGAAAUCUCUCCCUGAGCAGGAUUAACCAUGGCAUAAUGAAUCAAACUGCUUGGAGGCUUUUUCUCAUGAUCUAGUUGAAUUUGGCAGUUAACUUCCUUCCUUCUCUUCUAGUUCUAACAAUUGGAUUUACCUCUAAGUUAUCCUUCUUUCUUGGAACAUUUUAACAGGAAUCAGAGCUGCAUAUCUUUUCCACUCUUUCAUUGUUUUCCCUCCUAAAACAGUUCCUCAUAAUUCUUGGUCAUUUUUUAUUCUAUCUUUAUUUCCCACUUUCCCUCCUAGUUUCAUAAAAACAAAGAAAAGAAAAAUGUUGAGCCUCUUCUCCUAGACUGAGAGACUGUAGAACAGCAUACUUGGAUUGCUGCUGAGGUAAACAACACAGUUUCUUGUGGUUCAUGAAAGUGAUUCUUAAAUUUUGAAUGAGACAGCUUUGUGAUGCAGAAAGCUGAGACUGCCAGUUAUUCAACCAAAGCCUCUGCUUCCCAACAGGGAGCAGUCAGGGAGAAAGGAGAACACCCAGUAGACUGUGUGUAUACAGACAAGGCUCCUUCUGGAAAUUAAAUGGUUUAUCUAAAGUUAUCAGACUGCUGACUGCUCUUUAAAAGAGGUACCUCUGGGCUGGGGAAAGAACUGCAGUUCUAUUUGUCAAAUCUGAAGGAAGAAUGAUCCUGGAAUUUAUUAUCCUAUGUGUAAUUUUUGUAUUUAGCAGAAUACUGAAAGCAGGAUUUAUGAACUAAACAAACCUGUUUCCGGAAGAUGAUGGCAGCUCUGUGCCUUUAGCAGUAGUGGCGGCACAGUGAAUGUAUCUCACCAGAAAAUCUUUUAUUUUAUAGCACAAUAAAAUUAGUGAAUGAAAGCAAAAAGAGGUAUAAUGGAUCUGGGUUUUAACAAGCAUAUGAAUCGGUAUCUCAUGAGAUCUUACCUGAAAAAAACAUAAUUGUAUUUUGCUGGGAAAAGACAUGUAGAGAACAAAAGGAGAAUAAUAGGAGAGAGAAUCUUGUGACCAUGGUUGGAGAUUUGACUAAGAUGAGUGACCUGGUGCUUUGGGCCUCAGCCAGUGGGUUUAAGUCCUUGCUCUGCCACAGACUUUACAAGGACUCAUCAUUUCCCUUUCUGUGUUUUUUUUCACAUCACUUCUUUCCUUGGUUUGCCAUCAUUAAACAAAAAAUGAUACUAUUGUCCUUCCUGCUUGUGAGAAUGAUGGCAUUUAACAUUGAGAGAUUCCAUGAACCGCAGGAGUGCAGACCAUGCAACAAUAUUGGAUUUUUCCACUGUCAUAUGAGCAAUUAUAACAAGUUAUCCAUUUUUCAUUGUUUCAUGCUUCAUGCACAGGGCAGGCAGACUUGAUUUGCCUACGAUUUUGUGGGAAGGCAAAAAAGAUUUAUCUGAUGUUUGGAAAUUUCCUGUAAUUGCAGCACAACAGAAAAAAAGGUCUUUUGCUUUUCCUCCAUCCUGGAAAUGGGUAAGAGGAGCUCUUUGGUGAGGCCAUGCAGUGACAGUUCAGACUCAUGGCCAUGUCAUUUAGUGUUUGCGUGGCUUCUUGGUGAUUUGGAAUGAAGGGGAUUGGCUUCUCUGUCCCCCUGCAGCCUGGGGACACUGCUGUUCCUGGGCCCAGGAGCAUUUGCUAUGCCCACUCCCCUGAACACAUGUGCUGGCCAGAGAGAUUGUCUCUAAUGUAGGCUGGGCAGCUCUUCCUCACACACUCUUCUGUAUCAAACACUUCCCACCUUGAAAACUUCCUUGGUUAACUGCUCAUUUCAAAAUCGUUAUUAAUGUAUUUGCACAGGGAUUUUGGAAUUUAAUUAGCCUCUUUUGAACUGUUCUUAGAAUGUUUGUCUAGAGAAACAGAAAAUCCCUCCAUGACUUGUUUGCUUUCUCCAUUUGUUGGUUUUCACUGGAAGGGGAAGAUACCGGCGGGGUUUGCAGGGCUGCAUCCUCCUGGUGCCACUGGUGCUGCAGCUGGGGAUAAGCCACAGGCUCUGCAGAGGAAGCAGCUGGUUUUGGGGUGCAUCAAGGCCCCUCCUGGCCAGGGCUGGGUUCGUGUGUUGGCACAGGCUGGGCUGCUGAGCACGGUAGGACUUGGCCAGCUGGUGACAAGGGGCUGUGCAGUGUCCCAGCACACGGCUUGCCCUUACUGCUGACCCAGGCAUGUUUGCACCCAGACAGCCAUGCUGGCUGAACUGGGCUCCCAUUUCCCUCCUCAUGAGUUUCCUUCGGGAAAUUCAAAUCCCUGAGUGAGAUCUCACUUCCAGAGACCAAUUGGCACAGUGUGAUUUUCAUCUCACUUUUUGGAAGCACCAUGUUCAGAGUAGCAGUUCUGCCAUACCCCAUCCAGAACAUGUUGCAGGCUGUGCAUGUUCAUGUGUGCAAAUCUGCAGGCUCUCAGUUUUCAUUUGAAGGCUGGUUUAAGUUGGAUUUUCUUCCUUUUGUCUGAUCCUUGAGAAGCCAGGCUGGGCAGAGCAGGACGGGGUUUCUGGUGUUCCCUACUGCCGUGGGAGCACAUGCGCUCUCCUUCUCUCUGGCAAACCACAGUGGUUAUGACCACUGCCUCUGGUAGUGUUGUAUUGGUCCCAAAUUGAGGAAGGAUGACUAACUUAAUCACUCGAUAGUUUUGAUUUCUAAAAUUAAACAGCCUGCCAUAUGUGCAACCCCGUUACUAUAUUUAUGCCAGCAGUUAGCAGACAGCACCAGCCAAGCUGGAGAGGCUUUGCAGCUGCAGCUUGUGCCUGUGCUGCUGCUGCUGCUGUGAGCACACAGAUGUUUCUUUGCCCUUUCCCCAAAUGCAACUCUGUGGACAUUUCUCCUGUGGAAACAAAAGCACUUGUACUCAUAGAACUUUCUGGACACUCUUCAGCCAUUGUUUUGUAAACGUGUCCUGAUGCUCCCUGGUGAACCUCAGCUCCCAAGAACGGGUGGAAGGAUUCAGGGACUGGAUCAAACCCAGGAGACAGCGCAGCAAGCCAAAACUGAAGGCUCUAGCCCCAGUGCUCAAGCAGGGACAGCCAGUGAGCUGCAGGGGCUUCCUUGAGGAAAUGGUGGGUGCUCCCCCAAAGGAGUCCCCUUGAGGGCCAUGCAGGCCCCAGGGAACACAUGGCAGCUGGCUGUCCUGGGUUGCCUGGGCUGUUCAGUGAAUUAGGGGGAUGAGAUGCCUUUCUUCCACCAUUUGUUUUGUAGGAGCUCAGUUAGCACCAUGCAGAUUUAUUUGGAUUCUAGGAGAGAGGAAAUAAGAUGAAUAAGCAGUGGAUAAAAGCCAAGGUGAAAUGUACUGAAGUGGAAGGAGUGGACCCUUGUUUUUUGGAGGAGGGCAGACUGAGGGAUGAGAUGUUGGUUAUUACUUUGGUCCAGGCAACAUUCCUCUGUGAUCUUAGACACGUUGCUUGACUUUGUUUGCUAGCAGGAAAUCUGGCUUGCCUGGCAGAAGGAUUAAGAGACGGAAUGAAUAUUUAGCACUAACUAACCAAGAGUGUUUGGGUGAAACUGAAAUAUUUUGAUGUAUUAGAUCUGAUUUUACCAACUGACUUGGUGACUUAUAGGUGCUUUUGUUUGGUGUUGAGCAAGUGUUACUGCAAAGCAUUAGCAGCAGUGUGUUUGGGUAGGGUUGCAUGUGCUUGUUGAGUAGGUGGCAGGAGAGGGUUUGUUUUUCAUUUGCUUAGGUUUUUUAUUUAAAACAAUUGGAAUCCUUGGGGAUUUCUUUUUUGUGGAAUGGAGCUAUAUGGAUCUGGCAUCUGUAUGUAAUAAAAGUAGAAAGUAUCUCUGACCCUUAGGGCAAUGUCAGAUUGAGAAACCUGUAUCAAUUAGAGCAGAAAAAAACAAAUUAUUGUUAAAUUUCUGUGCCUGUGGCACUCUCUCCUCUAAGGAUGCAUGAAUGGUCUUGGGUUACAGGGAUACCUCAGAGCACCCAGGGGUGACCUACAUACAUCAUCACACUGUGCACUAACCUCUCUCUUGUCCCUGCAACUUUUGGAGAUCAUCUUCCAUACCUGAACAUCAUUCCAGUGUCCAUAAACUGUCUAGAGCUAGUUCUUGUUUAACUGUUGCAGCUGCAUGGAACUUGCAUGCACGGAUCUGUUUUCAUUCUGAAAUUUCCCCACAACACGUAAAUUCUUAGAAAUUUCAUUGAUGUACAGAGCAAAAUGAAACACUGACAGGCCACUUUUUCAAAAUCUUCCCUCCAGUAUUUUGGGGGGAGUGUGUGGUUUUUGUUUCAACCUACUUCCUUCUGCUCUUUGUUUAUUGGGAGCCAAGGAGGAGGCUUGUUGGACUGAUUGCUGUUGUUUAUUAAGCUUGCUUCCUUUAGGAAGAUUUUCAAGACCACUGUGGCCAGCACAGGGAAAUGCCUUCCUAUGCUCCACCUCUGCUCAGAGGGCAGGAGUCUGGCAUAAAAAAACAAACAAGAAAACCUUGGGAAUAAUCCUUUCUUGAAAAGAGACAGUCCAGACUCAGAGCAUUUGAAGUUUCCUGGAACCAGGGAUCAUAAUUUCUGUGGAUUCACAGAACCUUAAGAUUUUGUACCUUAAAACAGCAUUUGCCUGUGCAGGCAAAAGGAGCCUUUAUGUUUACUGUUUUGCUUGUGGUUAGUUACAGAUAAUUACUUAAAAUUCUCAGGUGUCUGGAUAGCAUGGAGUAUUGGGAAAGGAGAAGAGAUUCUUCUGUGCCAGAGGCAGCAUGGACAGCAGGGAGGUGGGCUGGCUCCUCUCUUUGGCCUGUUGCCUUGGGUGGGUCAGACUCCCUGCUCAGUUUCUGCAUCCCAACAGUACUGUGUGCCAGCAUUAUUAGCAGUGAUACAUUAUAAAUUAUUAACAUUUGGAAAAGGUUUGAAUUUAUUUGCAGAGAGCUGUUCUGGGCAAAAAAGAUGAAUAGUUUUUUGGCUUGGGUUGGGUUUUUUUAUUGUUUAAUUCCCUUUUUUAUUUUUCAUUUAGUUAGCUAGGUUUGAGUCCAUACUUUGACUCAUAUUUUAAACAGCAGCAUCAAGGAUCUCACUGUUUAUGCCAGCAGGGCAUUUGGCCCUCUCCACUGUGCUCUCUGCCUCCCUUCUGAAAGGUGAUGUGGGAUGUAUUGAUCCCAGCUUUUAGGACUUGUUCUAUUUCUGAACCCAGACUGCAGUGUAAAGUACAAACACCAUUUUAAAAGGGAAGAUCUAUAUUAGAAUGACAAAGAGAAUAAAUUAAAGCAGCAUCCCCUCUCUAAUGGUCUGCAGGCAGUCAUUAAGGAGGGAAUGCCCAGUGCUGUCUACCUGAAUGAUGCUUUAGAGUCUUCAGUAUCAGGGGACUUCAGUGAGCACAGUAUUGAUUUUUGUUCCUACAUUAAGCUUUUAGCUUUGCAGAUGGUUUUCUUUGAAGUCAUUAACAUUGCAAUGUGCAGCAUGAGGGGGAAAUAGCUCUGCUGCUGUGCAGGUACCACCUCUGAUCACUUCCUUCUUCCCUUCCUCUGUUGAGCCAUCAUUCAGCUGAUGCACCUGCAGGAGAGUGAGGAGAAAAGGAAGUGAAGUUGCAAGCCAGGACAGCCUUGGAACGGGGACAGGACAAGGAGCUUUUGCCCUUAACACUCCUGACCUUGCUGCUGUGAAGGAAAAGGCUGGAAGUUCUCGGUUUCUACAGUCACGACUGUCCCAGCGAGCUCAUAUCUGCCCUGUUGAGAGAUGCCGGCACCCUCUGGGCGGGGUGAGAGCAUGAAUGCAGCUGGGGAGCACCAGUGUCGGGCGGGUAUCGCGCCUGCCUUUACCAGCCUGACGGGAACAGACAGGGACAAAGGUUCCAGGCCAGCUCUACGACUGUGCCAGCCUGUACUGCUCCUGGGAAGGGUCCUCCUGCUGCGCUGGCUGCCGGUGACCUGCCAGGGGACAUGGAGCUGCUGGCUGUCACAGCACCAGAGGAAGCAGGGAAGGAUGCAACAGAGUCACAAACUGAGGUGGAAGGAGCAGAAAAAGCAGUAGCAAUGCCAGAAGUGGAAAGCCCAGUGGGGAUAGGUCUGGGUGGGAAGGUGGUCACUCCUGAAGGAGCAGCGGCAAUUGUGGCAGGAGAAUCGGAAAGCCCAGUGGCAGAAAGAGUUGCUGAAGCAUUUGCUAGGGCAGCAGAGAGAAUUGCAGUAUCAGAAGUUGCCAAGGUGUUGCAGUCAGCAAUAGCUGAGCUCAAAGGGAAGAGGAGGAGCAUGUGGAUAAAGCCGAGGAAUGCCACUCAGCGGGAAGAAGGUUGGAUGAAAGAGGGAGAGGUGAAAUGAAACGGAGAGGUGACGUUCUGGGACAUACCUCCUAAUGGGGAGCUUGUACCAUCACGCCUGCAAUGCAAUAGGGUUGCCAAUCACAUCUCAUUUGUGAACCACUAUACGAUUAAAAAUAAAUAUAUGGCA